Molecule: ribosomal RNA, 551 nt
Filed under: Neofusicoccum parvum
Lineage: Eukaryota; Fungi; Ascomycota; Dothideomycetes; Botryosphaeriales; Botryosphaeriaceae
Description: eukaryotic LSU rRNA
Rfam family: 5.8S ribosomal RNA (bases 178-331)
Source: RNAcentral
GGGGCUGGAUUCGAGCUCGGCUCGACUCUCCCACCCAAUGUGUACCUACCUCUGUUGCUUUGGCGGGCCGCGGUCCUCCGCACCGGCGCCCUUCGGGGGGCUGGCCAGCGCCCGCCAGAGGACCAUAAAACUCCAGUCAGUGAACUUCGCAGUCUGAAAAACAAGUUAAUAAACUAAAACUUUCAACAACGGAUCUCUUGGUUCUGGCAUCGAUGAAGAACGCAGCGAAAUGCGAUAAGUAAUGUGAAUUGCAGAAUUCAGUGAAUCAUCGAAUCUUUGAACGCACAUUGCGCCCCUUGGUAUUCCGAGGGGCAUGCCUGUUCGAGCGUCAUUUCAACCCUCAAGCUCUGCUUGGUAUUGGGCCCCGUCCUCCACGGACGCGCCUUAAAGACCUCGGCGGUGGCGUCUUGCCUCAAGCGUAGUAGAAAACACCUCGCUUUGGAGCGCACGGCGUCGCCCGCCGGACGAACCUUUGAAUUAUUUCUCAAGGUUGACCUCGGAUCAGGUAGGGAUACCCGCUGAACUUAAGCAUAUCAUAAAGCCGGAGGAAG